RNAcentral lists this ribosomal RNA (226 nucleotides) under uncultured bacterium. Its description in RNAcentral is "partial 16S ribosomal RNA". It matches the Rfam family "Bacterial small subunit ribosomal RNA", at positions 524 to 742 of the family's 1533-position model. The record is from RNAcentral.
UACGUAGGGGGCAAGCGUUGUCCGGAAUUAUUGGGCGUAAAGCGCGCGCAGGCGGUCCUUUAAGUCUGACUGUGAAAGCCCACGGCUCAACCGUGGAGGGUCAUUGGAAACUGGGGGAGCUUGAGUGGCAGGAGGAGAAGAGUGGAAUUCCACGUGUAGCGGUGAAAUGCGUAGGAAGAUGUGGAGGAACACCAGUGGCGAAGGCGACGUCUUUGGCCUGUAACUG